AGUCGGGUGAAAACAUGCAGUGAGCCCGGGUGCCAGUCUCGACAGGAAGGUUGUUAUAAAUGACAAGAAGUUAUUUAUUUAAUUUAGUCGCUCCCUCAGCCACUGUAGUAGCCUAAACACCCUUUCAGCAACCAAAAAAUAUAAAUACUAAUAUUAAAAAUGCUACAUGCAUUAAUAACCUCAGUUUGUGAAAAGGGUCCAUAACUAGGAUCUGCUUGAACUUACUCGCUUAAACCAAAUAUGGCUAAAAAAGGAAUGCAUCACCAUUAUACAAGUCCUAACAAGUAAUCUGUAAAGUUCUGCAUUUAUUUCCUCUGUGGAAAAAUGUGACUUAGUGAAACAUUAGCUGUGACCAACUUACUGAAUCAAGAACCUAUAUUGCCAUUUCCCUUUGACUUUUUGGUUGUUAAACACAGUUUAAUCAUCAGUGGUAAUUUUUUGUUACCUACAGCACUUAAAUUCCUCAUGGCUCGGUAUUUUAUUGCUUACUCUAUCAUGAGUAAUAUGUUUUUGCUCAUCCUCAUAAGGCUGCUCUUACAAUAAUAUAGUCUGGCUGACCCUUUUGUUCAGAGUCUAUGAGUCUUAAAUAUUACUCUGCCCUCACUGUUGUUCAUUCUUUUCCAGCUGAUUAUGCUGGUCCUCAAAAUAAAUACUUGUUCUCAAGUUAAUUUUACCACUGGGGCCUUGACUGUUCCCAGCUGUCCCUCCUCCCAUCCACUCUCGAAUUGGUCCCUGACCAUACAUGGUCUUAGUUGAAGAAAGCGGCAGGCCAUGAGAGCUGUAGGAAGAAGUGAUCUGCCACUCAAACAAGGCUGUGUGUGAAAGGGAGGACCCUGUGACUCGGUAGCGCUGGCCAUGUUACUCCUCCACCACAAAAAUUUACACUGUAAUACCGUGGAGCUAAAAAUGGGUGAGGAACUAAACUCAGAAACAGAAACUUCACCUAAACUGUGUGUUUCACUCAGCUUGUAAUGACUUGAAUUCACUGUAAAGACACAAAUAGGUGUUUCUGGGUGUGGAAGUUGAAAUACUCUUUCUGUUACAGGUGCCAGAUGUCUUUCUGCACUGCCACACUUUCUCGGGCAACAGAGGUGAAGUAUGGAGCAUGUGGAAAUUCCCCUUCAGAAAUCCACUGACAGCAUUCACCGGGUCUACACUCAAAGUGAAUGGCGCCGGCACCACCAUGGAGGUUUCACCUCCUGCCAAAGAAUGCACAACCAGGGCUGAAACACAACGGGACUUAAACUUAAAUGUCUGACAGACAAGAUGGCAUGAGAUUCCAAUUGGCUGUUCUUCCUGUUCCCGUCACAUCCUAAAACCUUUACUGAAUGUUUUUAAAGAUUUUAUGGUUGUAAACGACUGACUUGACAUUGAAUAAAAACACUGUAUAUGAACUGUUCCUCUCCUAAAUAUAUAAAAA
This is a long non-coding RNA of Labeo rohita (rohu), 1420 nucleotides long. RefSeq lists it as uncharacterized. NCBI's taxonomy places the organism in Eukaryota, Metazoa, Chordata, Actinopteri, Cypriniformes, Cyprinidae. The transcript is spliced from 4 exons. The record is from RefSeq and is a predicted model, not a curated record.